This 1200-nucleotide unclassified non-coding RNA is filed under the name Hevea brasiliensis (rubber tree). The record is from RNAcentral. Lineage: Eukaryota; Viridiplantae; Streptophyta; Magnoliopsida; Malpighiales; Euphorbiaceae.
CUGAGUCCAAGUUAUGCACAUAUAAUAAACAAUAUAGGAUCAACUCAACAGAGUUUUUGCUUACAUUAAUAUAAUGGAUUGAUUAAUUAGUCUGUCCUACAAUCAUGCAGAGUAAGUAAUACCCACAUGCUUGGCACUCUAAAACAAAAGAAAAGCAGAGUAGAUUGCUAAAGAACAUAUUGAGAAAAAUACAACAGACAGUAUCCAAAUCACAGCUAAAGAUUAAAUAAGCAAUCGAUGGGUACCUUCUUUGUAACUUCAAUUUAAUGUGGCAGGAGAAAUUAGAGGUAGAAAUUUGAAUUUAUAUCUCAAAUUUGUUCCGUCUUGGUCAUAAGUUGUAAAAGAGCAUUUGCUUUUCUCUGGGCUCUAUUGGUUCCGCUGGUUUUGACCUCAACUAAAUGUUCAUAUACACCAUACUGAAGUGCAGCAAGUAUGAAAGAUGAGUUGUUUGACCCCAGCUCAAGAAGGACUGAUGUUGCACAUUCCUUGUUCUUUGGGGUGCCUUCUUUGAUGAAUUCUACAAGGAUUUCAAUGAAUGAUAGCUGCCCAAUCUCACUCCGACCCUCAGGAUGUGACACGAGAAGUAACAAGAUGGAGAGGGCCUCAUCAACCAUACCUAAGUUUUUAUCCUUGAGCAACUGAAGUAAGGGCGGAACGAUGCCAGCAUCAAUGGCUCUAGCCUUAUUUGAGUUGUUGAGCGAUAAGUUAAACAGUGCAGUGGCAGCGUCUUUUUUUCCUCUCGCUGUCCCAUUCUGUAACAAGUCUACUAAUGGUGGGAUGCCAUUGGAUAGGCCCACAGUUACCUUGUUCUCAUCAAGCAUCGAUAAGCUGAACAAAGCUGCUGCAGAAUUCUCCCUAGCCUCUCUACUUCCAUUCUGCAAAACUUCUAUUAUAGCUGGAAUGGCUCCUUCUUUAGCUAUGAGUCUCUUGUUAGUCUCAUCAAUUGAUAAAUUCAACAAAGCUGUCACGGAAUUCUCUUGAAUUUUAGAAUCUGGAUAGGACAGAAUUUGAACUAAUGGCGCUAUUCCUCCAUUUUUGGCAAUCAAGAUUCUAUUCUCAGAAUUCUCUUUGGAGAGAAUACGAAUCUUCUUCACAGCCUUCCUUUGCAUUUCCAACUGAGUAGAGCAUAGGUCCCUAACUAAAGAGCAGAUUUCCUCACUGUGCUCAGGGGAGCUCUCAGAGGAUGCAAAAUCAGCUUUU